UUUAUGAUUAGAAUGAAUCUUACUUUUGAAACAAUGAGUGAUGUGAUGUGGCCCACACAUUACAUUUACUUUUCCAAGCAGCACUUGGAAAAGAGUCGUGUAAAUGCUUAAUAGACGCUUAAUAGACGCCUUUGACGAAUCAAACACAGUUCAUCGAAAUAUCAUUCUCAUAAAACAAACAUUUAACAAUAUUUUAGGAUCGGAAAGGAAAAAUUACAGUCAAGCCUCUUCCCUUCCAACUACCUUGUUAUGUCUGGAAAUGCAUGUGUCCACGUGAAUCUGAGCAAUAGCAGGGAAGCAGAAUUCUAUUGAUCGGAAGCACUGGUUACAUAGGAAAGUUCAUCGUGGAAGUGUCAAAGCUGGACACCCAACCUUUUCUUUUGGCGAGGGAAUCCAGACUUUCAAACCCUGCAAAAUCCUAUCUUAUUGACAAAUUCAAAGGCCUCGGUGUCAAUGUUGUUAAGAUCACCAAAGUUUGGUGAAUGCCAUAAAGCAAGUGGAGGUGGUGAUCUCUACCGUAGGCCAAUUCCAGCUAGCGGCCAAGAUAACAUCAUUUCUGCAAUA
Molecule: small RNA, 564 nt
Filed under: Vigna angularis var. angularis
Lineage: Eukaryota; Viridiplantae; Streptophyta; Magnoliopsida; Fabales; Fabaceae
Description: Non-protein coding transcript
Source: RNAcentral